Molecule: ribosomal RNA, 365 nt
Filed under: uncultured organism
Description: bacterial SSU rRNA
Rfam family: Bacterial small subunit ribosomal RNA
Source: RNAcentral
CGGAGGAUCCAAGCGUUAUCCGGAAUCAUUGGGUUUAAAGGGUCCGUAGGCGGUUUAGUAAGUCAGUGGUGAAAGCCCAUCGCUCAACGGUGGAACGGCCAUUGAUACUGCUAGACUUGAAUUAUUAGGAAGUAACUAGAAUAUGUAGUGUAGCGGUGAAAUGCUUAGAGGUUACAUGGAAUACCAAUUGCGAAGGCAGGUUACUACUAAUGGAUUGACGCUGAUGGACGAAAGCGUGGGUAGCGAACAGGAUUAGAUACCCUGGUAGUCCACGCCGUAAACGAUGGAUACUAGCUGUUGGGAGCAAUCUCAGUGGCUAAGCGAAAGUGAUAAGUAUCCCACCUGGGGAUACGUUCGCAAGAAUG